AUUAACCAAACUCUGAUCU
Molecule: small nuclear RNA, 19 nt
Filed under: Arabidopsis thaliana (thale cress)
Lineage: Eukaryota; Viridiplantae; Streptophyta; Magnoliopsida; Brassicales; Brassicaceae
Description: snRNA_16926
Source: RNAcentral